Long non-coding RNA from Mauremys mutica (yellowpond turtle), 359 nucleotides. RefSeq lists it as uncharacterized. The transcript has 3 exons. NCBI's taxonomy places the organism in Eukaryota, Metazoa, Chordata, Testudines, Geoemydidae. The record is from RefSeq and is a predicted model, not a curated record.
GGGCAGCACUGAACUAUAGGCAUGCAUUAAAGCCAUGCUCCACUACCUGAAUAACACUACUAGAGACAGAGAGAGUUGGACGCAGCAACUCUGUGGAAGAUCCUAGAGACAGAGAGGGAUUGAGUCGCCAUGAGCUGCUACCUGUCACAAGAGGAAAAGAGAAACAGAUGUUUAGGAUGGAACAAACCUAGACGCUUCCCAUAGUUCACAGUGCAACCUGUGAACUGUAGCAGUUCACACCCACAAAUAUUCUAAUGCUUGCUGUCUUUCAUCAAUGAAUCAUCUACAUAGAGAAAUGGUUCAGGCAUUGCACUAUGGCAGAUGUGUGUUUACGGAAGACAAACAGCCUUGAUGCCUUG